This 776-nucleotide ribosomal RNA is filed under the name uncultured Neocallimastigales. RNAcentral's name for it is "partial large subunit ribosomal RNA". It matches the Rfam family "Eukaryotic large subunit ribosomal RNA", at positions 22 to 635 of the family's 3401-position model. The record is from RNAcentral. Lineage: Eukaryota; Fungi; Neocallimastigomycota; Neocallimastigomycetes; Neocallimastigales.
GUACACGCUGUGACUAGCAUAUCAAUAAGCGGAGGAAAAGAGACUAACAAGGAUUCCCCUAGUAACGGCGAGUGGAGCGGGAAGAGCUCAAAUUUGAAAUCUUAAAGGGUUUCCCUUUACGAAUUGUAGUUUAAAGAAGUGUUUUCUGUUGAGGUUUUGGUAAAAGUUCUUUGGAAUAGGACAUCAUAGAGGGUGAGAAUCCCGUAUUCGACCUUUACUUUCAACUUUGUGAUACACUUUCAAAGAGUCGGAUUGUUUGGGAAUGCAGUCCAAAAUGGGUGGUAAAUUUCAUCUAAAGCUAAAUAUUGGCGAGAGACCGAUAGCGAACAAGUACCGUGAGGGAAAGAUGAAAAGAACUUUGAAAAGAGAGUUAAACAGUACGUGAAAUUGUCAAAAGGGAAGCGUUUGACACCAGUGUUGUUUCUCUGAAAAUCAAUUAAAGAACUGUUUACUGCUAAGCUGUUUAGACUUUAUCAGCUAAUCUGUUUAGUUUUGAGCUUUUCUUUAAUGCACUUUUCAGUUAACAAGUCAACAUCAAUUUCUUUUGCUGUAAAAAAGCUUGAGGAAGGUGGCUUGAGAUUCGUCUUAAGUGUUUAUAGCCUCUUGCCUAUGCAGUCGGAGAGAUUGAGGUCUGCAGCGUAGAUCCUUCGGGGCUAAAUGCAUUUGUGCUAAGUUAUAGCAUUUUAUAGACAACUUGUUGACUAUGAUUUGUCUUGUAGCUUACUCGCUUAUGUUAUUUUACCUACGCUUAGGAUGUUGAAGAUGUAGCACAUCAU